UGGGGAUGACGUCAAGUCCUCAUGGCCCUUAUGGGUAGGGCUUCACACGUCAUACAAUGGUCGGUACAGAGGGUUGCCAAGCCGCGAGGCGGAGCCAAUCCCACAAAGCCGAUCGUAGUCCGGAUUGUUCUCUGCAACUCGAGAGCAUGAGGUCGGAAUCGCUAGUAAUCGCAGGUCAGCAUACUGCGGUGAAUACGUUCCCGGGUCUU
RNAcentral lists this ribosomal RNA (209 nucleotides) under uncultured Thiobacillus sp. RNAcentral's name for it is "partial 16S ribosomal RNA". It matches the Rfam family "Bacterial small subunit ribosomal RNA", at positions 1174 to 1382 of the family's 1533-position model. The record is from RNAcentral. Lineage: Bacteria; Pseudomonadati; Pseudomonadota; Betaproteobacteria; Nitrosomonadales; Thiobacillaceae.